This 367-nucleotide long non-coding RNA is filed under the name Ictidomys tridecemlineatus (thirteen-lined ground squirrel). Its description in RNAcentral is "lncRNA (ENSSTOG00000029725.1)". The record is from RNAcentral. Lineage: Eukaryota; Metazoa; Chordata; Mammalia; Rodentia; Sciuridae.
CGUGGAGGCGGAGCCUGAGGGGCGUGGCUUCGGGGACAGCUCUGGGUGCUGGAUGUCCACAUGCCUGGAGUCUCCACUCGCAUCCUUUCUCAGCAGCGGCCUGAGCUCGCUCUCCCCACUGCAGAAGCGGAGGAUGAAGGUGCCCCCAAGGAAAAGGAAACAAAGCCUGCUCUGCUGGAGGUCUACUAAAAGUGACUGAGACCACUUGAGCCAAAGGCACUAUGAGGAAGAUGAUCAAGUUAUCUCAACCAAGACUUUGUUUAGGGAGGAAAUGGCUUGUCCCAGGAAGAAUAUAUCCUCCUGUGUGUAUAUAUGUGAAUGCAAGACCAAGUGAUUCUGCAACCUGUACACUCAGAAAAUUGAGAUA